This 3271-nucleotide unclassified non-coding RNA is filed under the name Hevea brasiliensis (rubber tree). Lineage: Eukaryota; Viridiplantae; Streptophyta; Magnoliopsida; Malpighiales; Euphorbiaceae. The record is from RNAcentral.
GGAAGAAGUAGACAAACCGCUCUCUCUAAAAUCAUAAACCCCUGAGAGAGAGUGUUUGUCUACUUCUUCCUCCUCUAACAAAAAUCUCAGAUCCAAACCUCUAGUAACCCUAACUAUGGCUUUGUUGGUGGAGAAGACCACUAGCGGCCGUGAGUACAAGGUCAAGGACAUGUCUCAGGCCGACUUCGGUCGCCUCGAGAUUGAAUUAGCCGAGGUUGAAAUGCCUGGUCUAAUGGCUUGCAGAGCCGAGUUUGGCCCUGCUCAGCCUUUCAAGGGCGCUAAAAUCACCGGCUCCCUUCACAUGACCAUUCAGACCGCUGUACUCAUCGAGACCCUCACUGCCUUGGGCGCCGAGGUCCGCUGGUGCUCUUGCAAUAUUUUCAGCACUCAGGACCACGCCGCCGCCGCCAUAGCUCGUGACUCCGCCUCUGUAUUCGCCUGGAAGGGUGAGACCCUCCAGGAGUACUGGUGGUGUACCGAGCGCGCUCUUGACUGGGGUCCCGGCGGUGGCCCAGAUCUGAUCGUGGAUGAUGGUGGUGAUGCUACACUUUUGAUCCAUGAGGGUGUUAAGGCUGAGGAGAUUUAUGAGAAGACUGGGCAGCUUCCUGAUCCGUCUUCAACCGAUAAUGCUGAGUUUCAGAUUGUUUUGACGAUUAUUAGGGAUGGGUUGAAGACAGAUCCCAAGAAGUAUCACAAGAUGAAGGAAAGAUUGGUGGGUGUUUCUGAGGAGACUACCACUGGAGUUAAGAGGUUGUACCAGAUGCAAGCUAAUGGAACUUUGUUGUUCUCUGCUAUUAACGUUAAUGACUCUGUCACCAAGAGCAAGGUAUUGCUUGUACUUACUAAAUUUUUGGGCUUUAGAUCUGGCUUGGAUCUGGGUCCUUAUGGUUUAGAUCUGCUACCUUUUUGCUAAAAUUGUUUGUUUUAUGUUUCAGUUCCUCUACUAUUUCACCUGGUUGUUUUCGUCUAUUAUGACAUCUAACAUCUGGGUAUAGAUUAGAUUGAUUUGAAUGAACUACCCAUUUUUCUUGCUAAAAAUUGGAUAAUAAACUACUUAUGCUUAAUUGUAAAUGCUUCCUGUGUUUGCUAAUUUAGUUUCAGGCCUGCUAUAGUUUACUUAGUUUUAUAGAGCACUAAUCUGGUUAGUGAUUUUAAUCGCCUGAAAAAUGAUUUUACUAUUGGUUUAUGAUUUAUACCGAGUUUUAAUUCAGAUCUGUAUUGAUAAACUUUGGUUUUAUUGUGAUCUGUUAUUGUUGAUGAACGCAACUUAGUUUCGUUUGAAUAUCAUUAAAUUUUUCAAACUAAAUUGGCGGAAAUGUGUUACCAAUCUAAAUAUUUCUUCCUCAAUUAUUACUAUUAACGAAUGCAAAUAUCUUUUAUCACUAACAGUACUUUUCCUCUUUUAAUAUGUCAUUUUUUUUAAACUCAUUAUUGAUAUUAUGGUCAACGCUCAUUGAUACUAUUAUUUUUGUUGCAGUUUGAUAACUUGUAUGGUUGCCGCCACUCUCUCCCUGAUGGUUUGAUGAGGGCUACUGAUGUCAUGAUUGCUGGCAAGGUUGCUGUUGUCUGUGGUUACGGUGAUGUGGGCAAGGGCUGUGCUGCCGCCUUGAAGCAGGCUGGAGCUCGUGUGAUUGUGACUGAGAUUGAUCCCAUUUGUGCCCUUCAGGCUCUUAUGGAAGGUCUCCAAGUCUUGGCCCUUGAAGAUGUUGUUUCUGAGGCUGACAUCUUUGUCACCACCACUGGUAACAAGGACAUCAUCAUGGUUGAUCACAUGAGGAAGAUGAAGAACAAUGCCAUUGUUUGCAACAUUGGUCACUUUGAUAAUGAAAUUGAUAUGCAUGGACUUGAAAACUACCCUGGUGUGAAGCGCAUCACCAUCAAGCCCCAGACUGAUAGGUGGGUGUUCCCUGAGACCAACUCAGGAAUCAUUGUGUUGGCUGAGGGGCGUCUCAUGAAUUUGGGUUGUGCCACUGGUCACCCCAGCUUCGUGAUGUCUUGCUCUUUCACCAAUCAAGUGAUUGCGCAGCUCGAGUUGUGGAGGGAGAAGGGAACUGGCAAAUAUGAGAAGAAGGUCUAUGUUUUACCGAAGCACCUUGAUGAGAAGGUUGCUGCACUUCACCUUGGAAAGCUUGGGGCUAAGCUCACUAAACUAACCAAGGAGCAGGCUAAAUACAUCAGCGUGCCCGUUGAGGGUCCUUACAAGCCACCUCACUACAGGUAUUAAGACGGGACAAAGAGAGAGAAAAACAAUAUAUUAAGACGGGAUUGAUUGUUUUUUACAAUUUGAAGAUGACUUGUGGUAGAAUGUUAGGCUUUUUAUUUUUGUAGGAUUUGUGUUUUGGUGGGGAAAAGUUGGAAGGAAAGAAAUGGAUUGGUCUCUAUUGAAGAAGACCACAUGGGAUUGAAUAAGGUAAUGGAUGGGGUUGCGUGGGAUGUGUAUUGUAAACUGCUGCCUUUCGAGCUCUGUUGCAGCUGGUUAUCAAAUUUAUUCACCAAAAAAGAGGAUGAAAAGAGAGAUUAAAUAUCAUUUGCAAUUUCUUUUCGAAUGGCUAUUGUUUUCUACAGUUUCUCAUAGUGAUUUUGCCAGUUGAAAUAUUUUCAGACUCGAUCAUUUGCCAUGGAUACAUAGAAAUAGUCCCAUGCUAGGCUUUUUUUUUCUUUUUUUUUGUCAACUAGCAAAUUUAUAAGCAGCUUGAUUGCCUAAUCUAGAGACAUACAUGAAAAAAAAUUAUCAUAUGAAGAUCCCUUGAAAGAGUUAAAACAUCGUGAAAAAUACCACAAAGAUCUGAAGGGCAAUGCUGAGUUGAGUGGCUUGAUCUUUCUUCUUGGAAUUAGGUCUUUCAAAUGCAAUGGGGGAAAAAUAAGUAGUUGGUGAACAUGGUGGCCCAUUAUAAUAUGAAAUUCAACAUGGUUGGGGUUGGUGUUAGGUAAAGCAUGUUGUUGAAUGAUGUAAUGAUGGUAACCACAUCUUUCAAUAAUAUUAUAAUAUAUUAUAUUUAGAUUUUUUUUAUAAGUAAAUAUUUUAUUAAAUAAAAAAAAAUUGGUAUAAGACCCUCAGGGGGUGUUUGGUUUACCUGUUAGGUGCAGCUGAUAACUGAUGGACACCAAAACAGGUAAAUUAUAGUGUUUGACAAGCUUAAAAAAAUAGAGCUGAUAGCUGAUGGGCAACUGAUAUGAUACCCAUCAGCUGCAGUUUGUAUCAGCUCUAUUUUUAGAGCUGUUUCUCAUCAGCUGAUAGCUGAUUUGGUUUUAUUUUUUAUUUUGACCAUAU